AUUCGCUAUCGCGUGGGAUGAGAAGUGCGACAGUUCGGCCUGGGCCUCCUCCAUAGCUGUUCGGUAACAAAGGGAGAAGGAUGGGGAUGAGCUACUCCUCCAGUCCCACAGCUACCACGUCUGCUAUGCACAGCGUAUGCCGGAUGUUUCUCUUAGCACUCUGCACAGGUGAACUCUUGGUUCUUAUCCCUACAAGCGUCAGCAUCGGCUCCAGCAGAGAGCAGCAAGUGGCAUAGCUGGAAACAGCGGGCCGAGGUGGCCUCAGCGUCAGCGGGGGACUGGCAGCGAGUGUCACAGGCAGCCAGCAGCGGCGUCCAGCCUUCGGCAUUGCGGGCAUCGGGACAUGCACC
This is a long non-coding RNA of Fukomys damarensis (Damara mole-rat), 350 nucleotides long. RefSeq lists it as uncharacterized. Lineage: Eukaryota; Metazoa; Chordata; Mammalia; Rodentia; Bathyergidae. The transcript has 3 exons. The record is from RefSeq and is a predicted model, not a curated record.